This 253-nucleotide ribosomal RNA is filed under the name uncultured bacterium. RNAcentral's name for it is "partial 16S ribosomal RNA". It matches the Rfam family "Bacterial small subunit ribosomal RNA", at positions 524 to 776 of the family's 1533-position model. The record is from RNAcentral.
UACGUAGGGGGCAAGCGUUGUCCGGAAUCAUUGGGCGUAAAGCGCGUGUAGGCGGCUCGGUAAGUCCGCUGUGAAAGUCCAGGGCUCAACCCUGGGAUGCCGGUGGAUACUGUCGGGCUCGAGUCCGGAAGAGGAGUGUGGAAUUCCUGGUGUAGCGGUGAAAUGCGCAGAUAUCAGGAGGAACACCAAUGGCGAAGGCAGCACUCUGGGACGUGACUGACGCUGAGACGCGAAAGCGUGGGGAGCAAACAGG